GAGUUAGGACAGCAUUUAGGCGAAUACGAAGUGCUGUGAGGCCAAUCCCGCUCCCGCUCCCUGCACCUGCAUCUUAGCUUUUCUCUUUCCUUUUCCUUCUUGUUUCAACAUGUUUCUGACCUUCGAGAAUAGAUUUUGUUUCUAUUGAGCACUAAUUUCUAAUUUAUCCUCUGUUUCCGUAGUAAUUUUAUGUUUGAAUGCAUCCUGCCUUGAGGUUGCCUCUUAUUUUAGUCUCGUGCCUCAAUGAUUUUGCUCAUUGCUGUAGUUUGGACUUAUCCUACCAAGGGAUAGUUCGAUUUCAAAUUAGUGCCUUAAAAAAUCAGUGUCUAAAAAUAUAAUUGAAUAUUUGCUGCAUGCAAGUUGUAAAUAGUCAGAUUUCUAACCCUUUUUUCCAUGCGAGAAUUGCUGUCGUGACUUGAUUGUAAUCUUGAAGUGCAGGACUAAUUGCUAGUUCAGUUGAUUUUAUUCUUGAAAUGCAGGAUUAAUUGCUUGUUCAGUCAGAUUAUAAAUCCGCGCUUCAAAAAAAUCAGUUUCUAAUAAUAUGAUUGAAUGUUGGUUGCAUACAAGUUGUAAAUAGUCAAAUUUGUAACCAUUGUUUCCAUGCGAGUGUUGCUAUCAUUACUUGAUUUAAUUCUUGAAGUUCAAUUGACCGUUUAAUUUAUGGGAUUGAUUGCAAUCAUAGUUAUUAAACCCGGUUCGGGAGUUGACUCGGCCAAAGAGCCGGGUCCCGGGUUUUAUGGGUUGACCCGGGUUAACCCAGGUCAACCCAUAAAACCCAUGUUAUUUAUGGGGUCAGGUGAUUAAAGAAAGAAAUGGAAAAGGAAAGCAAUUAUAAAGAGGUGAAGUGGGACCCAAUGUGGCAGGGCAUAGGCAUGGGAGAGGGUGACGUUAUUGGUUGUUGGUUGUUUUGUGCAGAGAUCUCUUAAUCUCAUCACCAUCUCCUCCUACCCUCUCUGGCUCCUUGACAUGCUUUCCCCUGGGGUGAAGCACAGUCCUUGCUCCUUACGCACCCAUGCUCUAAAGCUUAAAAACACCACACGAAUCCUCUUUCUUUUACAUCUUUUCCCUGCAAAUUCCUCUGGUUUCUACAUGCUUGAAAACAUUAGCUAGAGAGAGAGAGAUAUGUUAAAGACUUGACGGUGAUAAGAAAGCCUGUGAUGCUGGUAUUGUACCUAUUGCCUCACUUUCUCUUGAAAUUGCGAGUUUCGUCCAGUUUAAUCUUCAAUUUUCUUCAGGUUACAGUCAUCAAUCGUCAGGCCAGAAAGAAGAAAUGGAACCCAAUGCCAACCCUCAAGAUCUCCAAACCCAGAUCGACCUGCAAUCAUAUCAAGCGAACCACCUCCAAAACGCCGGGUCUCAUCCGGGUUCGCCCGGGUCAUGGGUCGACCCGCUGGGUCGACCGGGUUUUGCCGGGUUGUUGCACCGGCCGGUCUUUUGACAAACCCGGACCGGUCUAGCCACCGGGUCGACCCGCCGGGCCGGUCCGAGUUUAAUAACUAUGAUUGCAACAUCUUUGGUAAUAGGAAUUUGUGAUUGGGUGAUUUUACCAGAGAGAGAGAAAAAAGCAACACCAUUGACGGUGAAUCAGUGGUGGAGAAGAAACACGUGUUAUCUGGUCAGGUAGGCACCACUUAGAGGAGUCCUUGGAAGCUACUAUAUGGUCAUAUAUCUUGGCUGCGCAUGCUGCCAAAAUUUUCUGGAGCCCCCAUACACCUCUAGUUUAAUAAUUUAAAUAAUAUUAUAUAAUUAGUAAAAAAUGCAACAACUCUUUUCUUAAUUCGAUAAUUAAAAAAAAAAAGAGCAAAAGCAAAAUACAUAAAUAUCAUUGCACAUUUGAAUUUUUUUUUUUUUGUCUUCAAGAGGUAAGUUCAUGAAUUCAUUGUAUAAUUAAAGCUGAAAUGCUAAAAAUACCUCCAAGUGAUAGGUAUAUAUCAUUUUUCUGUAAGGGUAAAAAAACUAUUAUAUUGUGCUAAAAAAUUAUGUGAAGACCAAUCCUCCGUCAAUGAAUUCAGCAAUGCCAAUUGAAUCCCCGUGAAAAUAUAAAACGCCCUCAAAAGCAACAUCUUUAAGUUUUGUGAAGAAGAGCUUAACAUUAUUACAAUCUACAAUCUACAGUGCUAUAAAUCUAAGUCCACGGUUAAAUAUUGAUGCCUUUUAGUUUUUUUUUUGUAAUGAUUUAAUUAUCACAUUCUAUUUUGUAUUUUAUUUUCCUAAGAUUUUGAUAUGAUUUGUAUGAUUUGAUAUUUACGGGGAGGGAUUUAAACUUUCCUAUUUUUAUGGUCAAUCGGAAUAUUAGCUUGCCUUUAAAUAGUUAAAUUUAUGAAUGCAUCCAAUAGUGUGCAUGAUAAUACACACACCUAGAUAAUGUUUUCUCAUGGUUCAAGGUGUCACAUUAUUCCUUUUUUUUUUUUGACAUAGUUAGCUCUAGCAUGAGCAUCAACAAGCUAUAGUGAGCUGGAUUUCUAUCCAAAGAGUUUAAUGAAGAAGAACAGUAACGUAUAGUAUGCUAUCCAAUGGUAGUAAUGAGUUAAAAGAGAGAGAAGAAAGAGGAAGAAAGAGACGAGAGAGGAGGGAGAGAAAGAAACUAAUUUCAUCAUAAUUUUUUCCAGCAAAAAAUGUUGUUACAUAUAAGGUACCGUUGUCUAACAAUACUAUUCCUUUAAUCUAGGCCAACCUGUGGCAACAAUUAUAACUAAUAAAUAAAAAUAAAACGCUACAUUGAAGAUGGGAUAAAUGAAACUUAAAAUAAGGACAAAACAUUGUGUUGAAAUGGGUAAGUGAAAUGCUAUGUUUUCCUUUGUUUUUUUAAUUAAAAUUAUAAUGAUUAUUUUUUUUGAAUCAAUCAACUCUAAUUCCCUUUUUUUUUUUGCGUCUUCUUUUUUCAAUAAUGCACAUAACAAUUUUUCAGUAAUCAAUCAACCCUAACUCUUUUUUUUCGGCAUCUUCUUUCUUCAGUAAUGCACAUAACAAUUCUCCCUUCAUAAAAAUACUUUUGUUCUCAAGGGGAAAUGUUGGAAACCUCAGAGAGAACUCUUCAAGGAACUCCUAUAUGGCUUCAACUGGAGGUGAAUUCUUCCAUAAGAUCAGGACCUGAGUGGUUGCACGAUUGUGAUGCUUCACCAUUCUUCUAUUCAAUAUUGCUUAAGGUUAGGGUGUUAGGCUAUCAUGUAGUUUAGGUAAAUCAUCGUAUAUUCUUUUACACCCCACAUGCUUCUUUAAUUGUGAUACAUGGAAAACUGGGUGAAUUAUGGCAAUAGGAGUAGGCAUAGUUUGUAAGCCAUUGUCCCAAUACGUUCAAUUACCUGAUAUGGACCAUAGAAUUUAGGUGAUAUUUUGUGUGAUUCUCUUGUAAUCACUUACCUCUGUUUGUACAAUUAUAGUUUAAGAUAAACCCCCUUACCUACAACAAACAUCCUUUCAUUUAUUUUUUUGUUAGCCUAUUGGAUCAUCCUAUAUUGUGCCACCUUGAGAUUAGUUUUGAUAGAUUUCAACAUGUUUUUCUUUUAUAUGAGAAGUGCAUCCACAACUUCAAUAUUAGAAUCCUUUAGCAAGUAAAUAAUAUGAAUAGAAGGCAUAUGACCGUAAAGUAUUUCAUAUAGUGUAGAUUUAAUAGAAGUAUGAUAAUGUGUAUUGUACCACUAUUCAACUAAGGAUAACUAUGUGGACCAUUGACUAGGAUUAACACCUAACAUGCACCUCAAGUAGUUUUCUAGGCAUUUAUUGGUUGCUUCUGUUUGCCUAUUAAUCUGGGAUGAUAUGUAGUAAAGAAAUACAAUUCAACCCCUUAUUGGGCAAAUAGAUGCUUCCAAAACUGACUUAGAAACACCGGGUCCCUGUCACUGAUACAACCAUAUUAUUUGAUAGUUUUACCCAUAUUUACCUAGUAUUUUACCUAUGUUUUAUAUAUAAAAUACCUUGAUAUUAUUUGUUUUAUGUUUUGAAGGCACUUUUAGAUGUAAGAUUAAAAAAGAAAUAAAUUGGAGACAAUUCAGAUCAUGUUUCAGCCCGUGUCGAACAUUGACAGAUUGAUCUCCGAUCGAUGUUUUGUGCAGAGCUUGAGCUCUAGAGGUCGAAAUGAAGUGAUUAUAGUGGCAUUAAAAAGAUAACAUCCAUACUUUUAUAUACAUAUAUGGCAAGAAAAAUAAAAAAAGAAAGAGCAUGAAAAUUGCAGUUUUUAAAGACAAAUCUUGCAUUCGGCCAUUUCGACUUGAAUAUCUUGAGUUAGAGAAGUCCAUUUGAUACAAACUCAAUUGUUUUGGAUUUUUGACUCGAAGACCUACUAGCCUACCAAGUUUUAGUAGAAAAAAGAGCUCAUAUGAGGGCGAUAUGAUUUUUUUAAGACGACUCAUAAAUUCUACCAGCAGACAGGUUUUGUGAAAAAACAAGUCCAAUUUACUUCCCAAACGUUCAAACCGACAUCCAAAUAUUUAUUUGGGAAAUUUAACUUCUCUAAGUUCAAAUUCAAAGCUUGAAGAUUUUAUGCAAGACUAUUUCUUUUUUUUUUAUAUAGAAAAAUAGUUAUUGCAUUACUUAAAUGUAAAUUGUCUACUUAGAAAAUAAUUAUUUUAUAGGGAAGUAGGGAUUAGAGUUUCCUAUCAAAUAAAAAAAAAGAGAGAAAGGAAGGGAGGGGCGACCAAAAAGAGAAGAAAAACUCCACCCUUUCCUUCUAUACCUGAAAUCAUGUAUUCAUCUUUUCUCUUAAUUAUUUUUUGAUAGAUAUGUAAGGUUAAGUUCUUUUUCUUAGUUGCAAGGACAUAAAAACCUUCGGAUUUCAAGAAUUGUGAGAUCUAUUUUACAUUUUCUUUCCAGUUUAUAUGAUGAGUAUGCUUGUUUUUCUAUGCUUAUUUCCUAUAAUUGCUUAGUUUGAUUAUUAGAGCGAACUCUAAGUUAUUAUUCUAACGAAUCUAUUGCUAAAUUUGCUAUUAAAACUGGAGUUAUGAUAUCUAAAUUUAUGAAGCAACUAAGUUUAAUAAUUUUGAAAAAUCUAUGUUAUUAAUCUUAGAAAAAAUAUUCGAUCAAAUCAAACAUAGACUACAGACAGUUAUGUUGUCUAGAUUUAUCAACCUAUCUAGUUCUUAAGGUUGCCAUUGAAUUAAAUUACUAGUGCGGACACUGUGGUGAUUUAAUGGUUAUGGUUAGUUACACUGCAGACCGGUUAACUAACUAAUGUUAAGAAAAGAUAAAUAUUCAGAAUAUAAAUUGACGUAUCGUUUCAAUGAUCAGUUUUUAUUUAUGUAGAUAGACGUUUACUUGAGACCAAUGUUUUCUCUCUUGAUAAGUUUAAGAUUCAUUUAAUUUAGCUUGAUUGUUUUAUUCAGUUUACCAUAGCAUGACCUAUAUAACCUCACCCCCUCCCAAUUUCAUAUCAUCUAGCAUAAAAACCUGAAAUAGAUCUUCCGCGUGGGAUCAAUCGUUUACUUGCUCUAUAAUAUCUUGUUUAUUUAAGCUAGGGUAAUUAAUUUGUGUGACCGCGAUAUCGUAACAGUCAAAUCAUAGAUGAAAACCCAUGUAAUUUAUACACAUUUUCAUGAAAAGAGUAGCCACAAUAACAACAAAAUGAGGGUGUGUGCUAUGGCUAUGAAAUGAACACACUUACCAAAUCUAUCCACCAUCACAUAAAUAACAUCCUUACCAUUAGACUUAAGGAGGCCUUCAAUAAAAUCCAUGUUUAUGUCAUUAAAAGGAGCUUGUGGAAUAGGAAGGGGUUGCAGUAAUAUUAGGCUGAGGACAUUCUUUGUUUUGUUCCUUUGGCAUACACUGCAUUCCUUCAUAUACUGCCUGAUGUGUUUAUGUUGCCUUUCCCAAUAAAAUAAACUCCCAACUCUUUUAACAGUAGCACUAACCCUAGAGUGACCCCUUAUAGAUGAAUCACAAUAGAUGUCAAUAAGUUUUUUUUGUAGCCCAAGAUCAUAACUAACUACUAUUUUACCUUUCAUGUUUAGGUGUCCAUUCUCCUAUUUAUAGUAAGGGUGAGAGUUGAGAUCCUUACAUAUAUCCUGAAUGAUCUCUUGUGUAUUUCUAUCCUUUUUUUAUGAUGCUUUAAUCUGAUUGAUUAGGGUGGUAAAAAAUGAUAAUACUGCUAUAGUAAACAUUUAUUCUUUAAGAUUCCUAGAUAAGGUAUCAGAAUCAAAGUUAUCUUUGCUCUUAUUGUAUUCAAUUUCAAAAUCCAAGCCCAAUAGUUUGGAAAUCUAUAAGUGUUGAGAAGGGAAUGUGAUCUUUUGUUCUAUUAGAUACUUCAAACUGACAUCAUCUAUUCGAACCUUGAAAUUCCUGCCCCAUAGGUAGUGUCUCUAUUUAAAGAUUGCAUAAAGUAUAGCCAUCAUUUCUUUUUUGUAGGUAGACAGAAUUUGUUGUCUUAAACCCAGAGAUUUGCUAAUGUAGUUGAAUAAUGUCCUUCUUGCAUCAACACUACCCCAAUUCCACUUCCCGAAGCAUCUGUUUCUAUAACAAACACCUUGUUUAAGUAAGGCAAGGCCAAGACUGGAGGCUGAUUCAUUAACUCUUUUAGCUUCUUAAAAGCUUUUAUGUUCUACAUAAAUGCAUCAUUCCUUAUCAACUGUGUCAAUGGUUUAUAAAUUAACCUAUAACCCUUGACAAAUUUCUUGUAAUAGCCAACAAGGACAAGAAAACUACGCAAUUGCUUGAUAUUUCAAGGUUCAGGCUAAUCAACUAUUGUCUUGAUCUUUUAGGGUCAGUAAAAAAUCCAUCUUUAGUUAUUAUAAAUCAUAAAUUUUAUUAGGUACUUCUUGAAUACUUGAUUCAUCAAACUUUGUAGUAGGGACAUUACCAGAAACUCAUAAUAUCUAUUAUGAGUCUUGAAUGCUAUUUUAAAAACAUCUUAUCUUACCAUUCUAACCUAAUAAUAACCAGAUCUCAUAUCCACCUUGGAAAACACUAUUAUACCAACCGACUCUUCUAAUAGUUCAUCUACUAAGAGUAUAAGGAGCUUGUCCUUAAUGGUUAGUUUAUUAAGGUUCUAUAUGUAAGGCCCGACCCACUCCCCCUUGCAGAAUAUUGUCCGCUAUGGCUCAGCCCAACCCGGCUUUCACGCCUCACGGUUUUGUUCCUGGCAGCCCACAGGCCCAAAAACGCGUCCUACAAGGUUAGGUACCAACUGCCUUAAUAUGCCAUGGCUCUAGACACUCUUCUUUCGAUGUGGGAUGUUACACUAUAGUUAACACAAAGCCUUUAUGAACCAUUCUUUUUCUUAACCAAGAUCACUAGAGAAGCAAAUGGAUGGUUGCUAGGCUAAAUAAUUCCUGAUUCCAAUACAAACCUCUUUUCCAUGUUAUUUUAAUUCUUUUUUUUUUUUAAUUUUUUGACUACUAUUUUUUUGUGUUAUUUUACUCUGUCCAUUUGGUAAAAGAGAGAAAAAAGAAAUAAAAGAAAAAGAAAAAAGAAAGCACUCUCUAACACAUUUUAGGUAGUCACCGUCCACCAAAACGUCUCCUCCAGCCUCCUUCCCUUCCAGAAGCCGGAAUCACGACCGCGCCACCAGUAACCGCAACUGCUGCAACCGAUGACAUGUGCUCUAAACGAGCCAAGGAUAUCUUGUCCAUAGAAGCACAACAACGUGAAGCUAUAAUGGGUUUGAAAGACGCAAAAGAGAGGAGUCGAAGGUCAUAAAAGUAGGAGUUUGGUAUAUACUUGUCUUCUAACAAUACUAAUAUAGGUACAUGUAUAGGUAUGUUAUCUCUCUUUGCUUGCUGCUGCUACUCUUUCUCUUGGUUUAUUUGGGAGAAAUUAAAAAAUAGUUUUCUUUUUCUGAAUCUUACAUGCUAGUAUAAUAAAACAUUUAUAGGUAGAUUAACUGAAUCACUAAUGUGUUUAGUACAAAAUUGUUUUUUUUUUUUUUAUAGAAACCAAACAGACUGCUGUUUUAGGUUAACUUCAGCUGUAAGUUGUGUGACAGGAUGCGUACUUCUUAAAUUGUUCUUUUUAUUUUUUAUUUUUGGAUUAGUAGCUUUGCUCCUUUUUUUUUUCUAUGAGAUGUGGUAAAUUAGAUUUUGCAAGAUUGCAUAUGGCUGACACCAACAUGACCAAAAAGGGUCGCCGAAACUGUACAUGAGAAGGGCGGGUUCAAUGUAGUAGUAGGUCAAGUAUCAAUGAUAAGAACAUAUAAGUUCAUAUGUUAUUAAUGUAGAUUUCCUAAGCGUUUAGUAUUGUGGUAAAGAUUGUUUUUUAAAUUAUGUUUUUAUUGGAAAUGCAUUAAAAUAAUUUUUUUUAAAUUUUUUUAACAUUUAAGUACAUCAAAAUAAUUUUAAAACAAAAAAAAAAUUUAAAAAAAUUUUAAACUUUUUUUAAAAAACAUGGCCUAUGGCGUUGCCAAACACAAAUUUAAAAGAGUGUUUGGGAACGCGGUGCAAACUAUGUUCCCUAAAAAUUCAAAAAAAAUCUUUUUUUUGGUUAAAGAUUAAAUUUUUUUGUGUGUUUUGAAUCAUUUUGAUGCGCUGAUCUCAAUAAUAUUUUUUUUAAAAUUAAAAAAACAUCAUUUUAAUUUAUUUUAACACGAAAAAUAUUUUAAAAAACAACUACAAUCACAAUUCCAAAGAGAUCCGGUUUUUAAAGUCAUCUUAUCUGUUUGAAUCAACCGUGUCUUAUCUCAUCUCUCUCUCUUUCCCCUUUGUCAUGUGACUACUUAGGACUUGAACAUAGGCCGAGCUAACCAUGAUUGGUGUAUUUUAAUUUGAUCCAUUAAUUAAAUCUUCAAGUAAAAGCAAAGAAAACCCCUUGAAACAGUGUCUCUGAUGUAGCGGAACUCCCAUAUCCACCUUAUAAUUUUAAAAAAGUUCGAGCUUGAAGCAUAAUCCCUAUAAACAUUAUAAGCUUUAUAUCAACUUCUGUAAGUUGUAUUCUCUUAUUUUAUAUAAUCAUUACAAAUCAGAAGCUGAGUGGGUUUAGCUGUAUAGGAGUUUUUCUACAGAGACAUAAAUACAGUUUGGUUUUCGGGCAGCUGAAGAACACAAGAAUGGCAUCAACAGGGCAAUCACAGUCACUAAAAAGAAGGGAUGCACCAGUAACAAGAGAAGGAGGGGAUCAGCUAACUCUAACCCCUUUAGGUGCUGGAAAUGAAGUGGGUCGAUCCUGUGUUUACAUGUCAUUUAAAGGCAAGACAGUAUUGGUAUUGCUUCCCUCCCUCCUUCCCUCUAUGCAUUUUGUUGUUUUUCAAUUAUGCCAUUUUAUACUAAUUUACUAUUGGUAAUUCUUGAUCAUGCUGGAUCAAAUUCAAUGAAUGUAUUUUGUUUAUUAAUUUAUGUUUUUGUUGUCGAAUUAUGCCUAUGUUAGUUUGAUUGUGGAAUUCAUCUGGCUUAUUCGGGUAUGGCUGCUUUGCCUUACUUCGAUGAGAUUGACCCUUCCACUAUUGAUGUACUUCUCGUUACACAGUAUGUAUUUCUUCACCUUCUCUUGCUAAGUCUCCUUGCUUGGCUAUUGUAUAUAUGUAUAUUGAUUUUCCAUUCCAUGAGGCAAUAUUUUGUUUCUCACUAUUAGUUUCGUAAAUGCUAGUUUUUUCUCUCACUGAAUGCUCCCUUGAUUUGACCUUGCUUGCUUUUUUGUUUGUUCAUUUUCUUGUCAAAAGAAUACUUUGAAGAGAUAUCUCCUAUGAUGAUGUAGUAAGAUUGCAUGAAAUUUUUAGCUGCGAGAGAUCAACUUGUCCAAGGAAGAACAUGAAAUUGUUUCAGAAUUAGAGAACACUCAGCUCAGAAGUCAGAUAUACAAGUAUUGAGAAAGUUAGUGUUAGGGUAUUUUGGUCUAAUAUUUGGGACGAUUUUAUUGUGACAAUACAAGUUGGGAAGGAGUUUAAAUAUUGUGAGAAAAACCGCAUGAUGCAGUUCCUUAGGUGCUUGAACUUGCAUUAUUAGGGCCAUUUGAUAGGCAGUGGCUAGGUUCCUCAUCAGUAGAAGUUAGCCAAGUCUGUUAUAAUGCUGGACUUGACAAUAAUAUAAAUUGAAACAGUGAAACUUAAACUUGAUGCUUUGUCAACAAGAGAGGGCAGCCUGAACUUUCUUACCUCUAUAAAAAAUUAUCAGUAGUAUUCUUGAUGUGUGCUGGGAACUUUAUACUCUUAACUGGAUCUAUGCAGUUGUAGAGAAGUAUAGAUGUAAUGAGAUGUCUGAUAAAGUUUUGUUGGAAUUUGAAGUGUCAUAGACUCUUGAUAUCUAUAUUUUAAUUAUUCACAUGCUCCUUGUUGCAAGAAGAUGAGUGAUCUUCUAAGAAAUAGGUUAGUGCUCGUGAGGUUUAUUGCUUAUAAUGGGAACCACAAUAGAACAGUGCUGAAAAUGCAUGCAAUUGGGGAGUGAAAGCAAUCCACUUUCCGGCUGAAGAAAUCAUUUAGGAAAAUCUUGAUUAUCUAUGAUAUAUUAUAAUAAUUUUUUUUUUUAAUGUGAUUAAAUAUCAUAAAGUGUUCAACAAGAAAGCAAAACAAUAAAAGAAUAUAAAUUAUUUCUACUAAUUAAUUAUGUUGAAUAUUAAUGUGAUUGCAUAUUAUGCAAUGAUUCAAAAAAUGAAAAUAUUGAAAAAUCAUUGUAUCACAUUGGUUGGGAAAUAAAUAUGCUCCAUUUGCUUGAAUUUCAUUUAAGGUGUCAGGAAACUCUACUUGGUUUCUAUUUUUUUUUUGAGAAUUCUUUCUGUUACAUUAAUGAAGUCAUAAGGGCCUCUUGGAUUUUAUUUUAAACAAAUAAAAUCAAUACUGUGUUUUCUAUAUUUUUUCAAUCAAAAUUUUUAGGCCUCUCUAGUUUUUCAAUCAAAAUUUUUAGGCCUCUCUAGUUUUUUCUCAUCAAUCAUUGGGAGUGAUGCUUUCUUCCUGCAGCUUUCACAAGGUUUGUUUUUUUUACUGAUUUCUACAAAGUUAUUGUGUGUAUCUUUCACUAGGAUCAAUCUAACAUGUUCACUCUUUAUCACUAGGAUCAAUCUAACAUGUUCACUCUUUAUCAGACCACAUUCAGAGGUCGAGUUUUCAUGACUCAUGCAACAAAGGCUAUCUACAAGUUGCUUUUGACUGAUUAUGUAAAAGUGAGCAAGGUUUCAGUGGAAGAUAUGUUGUUUGAUGAGAAAGACAUAAACCGCUCAAUGGAUAAAAUCGAGGUCUGUGUUUAUGAAUUUUUGCAUUCUCUUGUUUACAUCUAUCCGCAUCCUUUUUGUUCUUCCAGAAACUUGAUCCACUUCGUUUACCUUCCUUCUAAGCAAUAGCUUGGAAAAAUUUUUGUUUAUUAUAUUUGGCUUGGCAUUAUGUUGUGGCCCCAAAGUCAGGGGCUCAGGAAUUCAGCUUAUUGGUUAUUCUUCUUUAUCACCUCCUAUCCAUGUUGAAUUAAUUGCUCUAGAUGAAAGGUCUGCGUCUUCUGGAAUUUAAAGUGUUUCAAUCUUACAUUUGGUGUUGUGAAUUUUGCUGUCUAUGGAUUUCUUAGCUUUCAUUCUGUUUGAGUUUGGCAUUGUUAGUUGUUGGCUUCUCAUUUGAGGUUUGCAUGUUUCGCUUGGAAACUUAGGACCAAUUUAUAUGCAUCUGAUAAUUAAGUUAUGCCUUUCUUUUUCCAGUAGUGAUCAAUCUAAGUUGAUUCCACACUUAAGUUGCAUUUGGAAUACUCUAUUGCCUGAUUAAUCAAAGAGCAUAUUCAAGUAGUUGUGGUUGACAGCCAUGUAUCUUUUUUGAACUAUGAGAGUUUGGGUCAUAUUACAGCGAGUGCCAUCUCACUCUCUAUCUUCCUGCACAUGUAAGAUUUUAGUGAUUAGUAAUAAGAUAACAGUAAUUCAACAACAAAAAAAAAAAGAUAAAGAUAAAGAUAAAGGAAAAUUUUAUAAGCCAAGUGGGAACCUUCUGGUAGGCAUACAGGGCCCCUGCCCUAGUACAGUUAAGCAGAAAGGUUUGGUAACAACUGGAUGAAAAUUUAUUUAUUUUUUCCCUUGUUUGUUCGAAGAAAGGGUGCUUGUUCCAAAAUGGUAGUUGCUUAUCUUUUUCUCAAUAUAGCAUCUCUUUUGGUAAGCAUUAUGCUAUGCUUGCCAUUUUAAGUUGAUAAAUCUGUCCGUGACCGAUCCAUAUGAGGUAAUGUUUGGGCUGAUUAAAAGAUGUUUUCACAAUUAUGAAAUAAUAAUAAAAAGUAUUUAAGUUUUGGUAGCAUUCUGAAAAUACAAUCCUAUGGAGCCAAUUCAAAGCGAGGAUUUCUUUUUUCUUUUGAUUUUAUUUCCAUCCUGUAGCACAAUCAUGAUCCAUGAGUGCAAGUGGUCAAAACCAUUGAGAGAUUGCAGAGGGAAAGAGAGGAUAUCACUUUUAUAUAUUUUUCUUUUCAUACAUGGACUGUUAAUUCUAAUCCCUGACACUUUUGUCAAGGUUGGGUGCAUGUGUUUGCAUUUUUGUCUUUUUUUGUGAGCAGAUCUGCUGGUGUUUGCCAGGUCUUAUUUUCCUUAUGAUGGCCUAGCUUGUAAUCUUCCUUUGUCAUCCUCUGUUUAACUUAAGAAUCCUUAAUUUCAUUAAUGAUUUUUGUAAUUGCAGGUUAUUGACUUCCAUCAGACUGUGGAUGUUAAUGGCAUUAAAUUUUGGUGCUACACUGCUGGCCAUGUCCUUGGGGCUGCCAUGUUCAUGGUAGAUAUUGCCGGUGUUCGAGUGCUGUAUACUGGAGACUAUUCGCGUGAAGAAGAUCGGCAUCUUCGUGCUGCUGAGAUGCCACAAUUCUCUCCAGACAUAUGCAUAAUUGAAUCUACCUAUGGUGUCCAACUCCAUCAACCUCGACACAUUCGGGAGAAGCGCUUCACUGAUGUUAUCCACUCCACCAUCUCUCUAGGUGGUCGUGUUCUAAUUCCAGCAUUUGCCCUUGGCCGAGCUCAAGAACUCCUUUUGAUCCUUGAUGAGUAUUGGUCAAACCAUCCCGAGCUUCAUAACAUUCCCGUAUAUUAUGCUUCUCCCCUUGCGAAAAAGUGUAUGACUGUUUACCAGACAUACAUCCUUUCUAUGAAUGAAAGGAUCCGCAAUCAGUUUGCGGAUUCAAACCCCUUCAAAUUCAAGCAUAUAUCACCGUUAAAUAGCAUUGAAGAUUUUACUGAUGUAGGGCCAUCUGUGGUUAUGGCAACUCCUGGAGGACUGCAGAGCGGUUUGUCAAGGCAGUUGUUUGAUAUGUGGUGCUCUGAUAAGAAAAAUGCUUGUGUUAUACCUGGAUUUCUUGUUGAAGGGACCUUAGCUAAGACAAUCAUUAAUGAACCAAAGGAGGUACAGCUCAUGAAUGGACUGACUGCACCACUCAACAUGCAGGUCCAUUACAUCUCGUUCUCUGCCCAUGCAGAUUAUGCUCAGACAAGUACAUUUUUGAAAGAGCUCAUGCCUCCUAACAUUAUUCUUGUUCAUGGAGAAGCCAAUGAAAUGGGAAGGCUCAAACAGAAACUUAUCACAGAGUUUACUGACGGCAACACCAAGAUAAUCACCCCAAAGAAUUGCCAGUCUGUUGAGAUGUAUUUCAACUCUGAAAAAAUGGCAAAAACCACUGGAAAGCUGGCUGAAAGGACCCCGGAUGUUGGUGAAACUGUCAGUGGUAUACUGGUGAAGAAGGGCUUCACUUAUCAAAUCAUGGCACCUGAAGAUCUCCAUGUCUUCUCACAACUAUCAACUGGAAAUAUUACUCAGAGGAUUACCAUUCCUUUUUCCGGUGCAUUUGGUGUGAUAAAGCACAGGCUUGAGCAGAUUUAUGAGAGUGUGGAGUCUGGAACUGACGAGGAGUCUGGGUCUCCAACAUUGCAAGUGCAUGAGCUGGUAACAGUGAAACAAGAAUCUGAUAGACAUAUUUCACUUCAUUGGACUGCUGACCCCAUAAGUGAUAUGGUGUCUGAUUCAAUUGUAGCUUUGGUUUUGAACAUCAGCCGGGAGGUUCCUAAGGUAAUUGUCGAGUCAGAGGACAUAAAAUCUGAGGAAGAAAAUGAGAAAAAAGCAGAGAAAGUGAUUUAUGCCUUCCUUGUUUCACUUUUUGGAGAUGUGAAACUUGGAGAGAACGGGAAACUGGUCAUAAGUGUUGAUGGGAAUGUAGCAGAGCUUGACAAACAGAGUGGGGAUGUUGAGAGUGAGAAUGAAGGUCUCAAGGAACGAGUUAGGACAGCAUUUAGGCGAAUUCAAAGUGCUGUGAGGCCAAUCCCGCUCCCUGCAUCUUAGCUUCUCUCUUUCCUUUUCCUUGUUGUUUCAAAAUGUUUCUGACCUUCGAGAAUAGAUUUUGUUUCCGUAGUAAUUUUAUGUUUGAAUGCAUCCUGCCUUGAGGUUGCCUCUUAUUUUAGUCUCGUGCCUUAAUGAUUUUGCUCAUUGCUGUAGUUUGG
This 14280-nucleotide long non-coding RNA is filed under the name Populus trichocarpa (black cottonwood). Its description in RNAcentral is "long non-coding RNA (PTRI_LNC003824)". The record is from RNAcentral. Lineage: Eukaryota; Viridiplantae; Streptophyta; Magnoliopsida; Malpighiales; Salicaceae.